UACGGGGGGUGCAAACGUUGCUCGGAAUUAUUGGGCGUAAAGCGCACGUAGGCGGUCCUCUAAGUCGGGUGUGAAAGCCCGGGGCUUAACCCCGGAAGUGCACUCGAAACUGGAGGGCUUGAGUAUGGAAGAGGGUCUCGGAAUUCCCGGUGUAGAGGUGAAAUUCGUAGAUAUCGAGAGGAACACCGGUGGCGAAGGCGGCCUUCUGGACAGUGACUGACGCUGAGACGCGAAAGCGUGGGGAGCAAACAGG
Molecule: ribosomal RNA, 253 nt
Filed under: uncultured bacterium
Lineage: Bacteria
Description: partial 16S ribosomal RNA
Rfam family: Bacterial small subunit ribosomal RNA
Source: RNAcentral